UGUUGGGGUCGUGCCCCCUACAGAGAACCUGAUAUAGACAUUAAUCCGGGGGUCGGGACACACACAGAGUAUUGAACCUGGGAUGUAGACCUGUAUCAGCGUCCGCCCAGUCACCUGCAAGCAUGGCGUACUUGGGUAAAACGAAUGUAUUCUGCGAUGAUGGCGACCUCUACAGCACUUUCCCUUUCCCAUCGUGGAGAUCCUAUCAACGUCAGAACGUCAGUGAGCCUGUACACAGUGGACCUCUUCAAGGCACUCACACCAGACCAGGAUCUCUUUCCCUCAAACAGGGGGUCGGGUUUCUGUGGGGGUGCCCAGCUCCGGGGCGUGAUACUGCCUCUCAUCUCAGUAUCUACACACAUGCCCUGUCAGACUUGCCCUGGACCAACAGGGCGAUAACAUCAUUGAGAGCAGGUCAUUCGUGCUUACAGGAGAUUUGUACAUCUCAAUUGCUGAUCCUAAUGGCUAUUCUUUUUAUUCAAGAUGUCGUCCAGUGUGCUCGACCUCUGCACGCAGUAACACUUGAGCACUUGCAACAACCAGCCAUUGUUCGUCUGUGCAAACCUGCAUAUAUCCUAAGCCUAUAAAACUAUGGCGCGAAAGAUGCUUACACAGUUCGCCAUUGAAACUGCAACGUAAUUUAUUCUCAUAUCGCAAUCGUUUGAAAAUACAUUUACAAAAUGGAUGACGUAUAUACCCAAAACGUUUGAAAAUACAAUAUGGAUGAUAUGUAUGUACCGUAAGCUUUUGAAACUAGAACGUUAGGCCACUUUUUGAAAAUAUGAGUUCAGGACAAUACCCAGUCGUAUCCAACAGACAGGUAUUAUGACGACGCAGGACACCACGAAGAUGGCCCAUUACACUUCAUAGCUAUCUAAAGCGAAGACU
RNA transcript from Haliotis rubra (blacklip abalone), 888 nucleotides. RefSeq lists it as uncharacterized. The transcript is spliced from 2 exons. NCBI's taxonomy places the organism in Eukaryota, Metazoa, Mollusca, Gastropoda, Lepetellida, Haliotidae. The record is from RefSeq and is a predicted model, not a curated record.